CAGUGCGCAGGCGCGCUCCCGUUCGCGGUCCCCAACGGACUCACCCGCGGCGGGAACGAAAAGGGGCCACCCGAGCGAGGUAGGGGUCCUGAGAGGAAAUUGGCCGAGGAGAUGAGUGAGGCGAGAAGACCUGGUUGGUGGCUGAUCAGGAGAAGGGGCUCGAGCGAAGGGGCUUUGUGAGGCCUCCCAGAGGAAGAUGCUGCUGCCACCUGCCUGGUGUUCCUGAACCUCCAGGUUUCUGCCACACUGCCCCAUGGAGGACACGCCCACCUCACUCAGCUGCUCUGACUGUCAGCGCCACUUUCCCAGUCUCCCGGAACUGUCCCGGCACCGCGAGCUGCUCCAUCCAUCUUCCCAGCAGGACAGUGAGGAGGCAGACAGCAUCCCUCGGCCCUACCGCUGUCAGCAGUGUGGGCGUGGCUACCGUCACCCGGGGAGCUUGGUCAACCACCGGCGGACCCACGAGACUGGUCUUUUCCCCUGUACCACCUGUGGCAAGGACUUUACCAAUCCCGUGGCCCUCAAGAGCCACAUGAGGACUCAUGCUCCCGAGGGCCGCCGUAGGCGCAGGCCUCCCCGCUCCAAGGAAGUCAUUCCGCGCCUGCAGGGGGAAACAGCAUCCUCUGACUCUAGGGACCAGAGGCUUAGCCCUGGGGAAAGCUGGACAAGCCAGAAAAAACAUGCCGAAGAGACAUCUGGCUGUGAGUCUGGGCCUGACCCCAGGGCAGCUCUGAGCGCUAGGGAGGAUCCACCCACCAGACAAAGAGAAGGCUGGGAAAGGCAGCCAGAUUCUGAGGAGGGUGCAGAGGGCUGGGGGCCCACUACCAGUUCUGCCAGAGCCACCCCGCUCCCCACCGCAGCCAGCAGCCUCCUUAGCAAUUUGGAACAGUAUUUGGCUGAAUCCGUAGUGAACUUCGCCGGGGGCCACGAGCCCCCUCAGUCAACUCGUGCUGAGGAGGAACGGCGGUACAAGUGCGCUCAGUGCGGCAAGACUUACAAGCAUGCCGGGAGCCUGACCAAUCACCGCCAGAGCCACAGCCUGGGCGUCUACCCUUGUGCCAUCUGCUUCAAGGAGUUCUCUAACCUCAUGGCCCUGAAGAACCACUCCCGACUCCAUGCCCAGUAUCAGCCUUACCAGUGUCCUCACUGUCCCCGUGCCUUCCGGCUCCCCCGAGAGCUGCUGGACCACCAACAGUCCCAUGAGGGUGAAAGGCAGGAGCGGCUAUGGGAAGGGAAAGGGACGCCCGCCACCAACGGGCACGUGGAGGAGAGCAGCCAGGACCAGCUCCCGACUACACAGAUGCUGAACUGCUCCGGGGAGCGCAGCGCCUCUGGGGAGCUGGAGGACGGUGGCCUAGAGGAGUACCGGCCUUUCCGCUGUGGGGACUGCGGCCGCACUUACCGCCAUGCUGGGAGCCUCAUCAACCAUCGCAAGAGCCACCAGACAGGUGUCUACCCCUGUUCCAUCUGUUCCAAGCAGCUGUUCAACGCGGCUGCCCUCAAAAACCAUGUGCGGGCUCAUCACAGACCCCGGCAGGGAGCCGGGGAGGAUGGGCAGCCAUCAGUGCCACCAGCCCCCCUGCCUGGGGCUGAUACCCCUCACAAAGAGGAAGAGGUCCCUGCCACCACCCUGGACCACCGCCCCUAUAAGUGCGACGAGUGUGGUCGGGCUUACCGCCACCGGGGGAGCCUGGUGAACCACCGCCACAGCCAUCGGACAGGAGAGUACCAGUGCUCACUCUGUCCCCGCAAGUACCCCAACCUUAUGGCCCUGCGUAACCACGUGCGGGUCCAUUGCAAAGCUGCUCGCCGCAGCGCAGGCCCAGGGGCUGAGGGUCCCCCCAGCCACCUCAAGGGAGAGCUCCCUCCUGACCAAGUGGAAGCAGAGGCAGCCCCACAUACAGAUCAGGGGCGUGGGUGCAAACACGAAGAGGAGGCGGCUGCGGCCGAUGUCCCCCCAGCAGCAAAUAGGACAGCACCACAGAUCUGUAGCGUGUGUGGGAUGCUCUUUGAAGACCCUGAGAGCCUUGAACGUCACGGCCGGACCCAUGGGGAUGGGGAAGACAGCAGGACAGAAACCAGGGCGUCCCCUCCUCGGGCAUUUGCUUGCCAAGAUUGUGGAAAGAGCUAUCGCCACUCAGGCAGUCUUAUCAACCACAGGCAGACCCACCAGACGGGGGACUUCAGCUGUGGGGCCUGCGCCAAGCACUUCCACACCAUGGCCGCCAUGAAGAACCAUUUGCGACGCCACAGUGGGCGGUGGGGCCGACAGCACGGGAGGCGGGCCAGCAGUGCUGGCAGUGGGGGUGAAGCCAAACUCCCGUCAGGCGGGAACUGGGCCCAGGACUUCGUGGGAAACAGCAAGGGCCUGGACUGUGCGCGAGACCCUUCAGGGGGAGGUCCUAAUGGAACCGCAGGCAGCUCGGAAAGCAAUGAGGGCUGUCUGCAGACUGAAGCCGAAAGGGCUAGAUGUGGGCUCGAGCGGGCGGAGGCCCGUAUCCAGGGUGAUAAAGAGAGCAGGGGUACUGAGGAAGGGCUGGAAAGGAAGGAGGCCUGUUUCCUAGACAACUUGGACAUCCCAGGCAAUGAGGAAAGCAAUGGGACUCGCUUCUGUGAUGGUCUCCCUGGGGUGGACGAAGACCGGAAACGAGCCCCUGGCCAGCCCAGCUCCCCGCACCACUCUCCUGUCACUGGCUGGCAGGCGGAGGUCUCCCACACGUGUUCGGACUGUGGGCAUUCUUUUCCUCAUGCCACCGGCCUGCUGAGCCACAGGCCGUGCCACCCCCCGGGCAUCUAUCAGUGCUCCCUCUGCCCGAAGGAGUUUGACUCUCUGCCUGCCCUGCGCAGCCACUUCCAGAACCACGGACCCGGGGAGGCCGCCCCUGCACAGCCUUUCCUCUGCUGCCUCUGCGGCAUGAUCUUCCCGGGACGGGCUGGCUACAGGCUUCACCGGCGCCAGGCUCAUGACUCCUCUGGCCUGACCGAGGGGGAGGAAGAGGAGGGGGAGGAGGAAGGAGCCGCAGGGGCAGCCUCCACCCGGAGCCCUCCGCUGCAGCUCUCUGAAGCAGAGCUGUUGAAUCAGCUGCAGCGGGAGGUGGAGGCGCUGGACGGAGCUGGUUAUGGGCACAUCUGUGGCUGCUGCGGUCAGACCUAUGAUGACCUAGGGAGCUUGGAGCGUCACCACCAAAGCCAGACUUCUGGGAACACCACAGACAAACCUCCCAGCCACUUAGGAGAGUCAGGCGAUGCCAUGGGAAGGGUUGCAGGUGACGACCGUGUCUUUGAGGGCACGGUGACCUCUCUCUCUGGGGAAGGUGGGGACACAAAGUCUGGAGAGGGAGUGGGUGCUAUGGUUGUAGACAGCCUUUGCAUGCGGGGGGAGGAAAGUCCGCCAGAGGCCCAGCCCCGCCCCUUCCGCUGCAACCAGUGUGGCAAGACCUAUCGCCACGGGGGCAGCCUGGUGAACCACCGCAAGAUCCACCAGACUGGAGACUUCAUCUGUCCCGUCUGCUCCCGCUGCUACCCCAACCUGGCUGCCUAUCGGAAUCACCUGCGAAACCACCCGCGCUGCAAGGGCUCCGAGCCCCAGUUGGGGCCCGCCCCGGAGGCCGGAGGCAGCAGCGAGCCUCGGAACGUGGCAGAAGAAGGGCUGGGGCAGGCAGAUGGCGGAAAGCUCCAGGAAGAACUUAAAGUGGAGCCCUCGGAGGAGGUGGCAAGGGUGAAAGAGGAGGAGUGGGGGGAGGCCACCGUGAAGGGGGAGGAGGUGGAGCCGAGGCUGGAGACGGCAGAGAAGAGCUGCCAGACCGAGGCCAGCUCUGAGCGGCCCUUCAGCUGUGAGGUGUGCGGCCGGUCGUACAAGCACGCUGGCAGCCUCAUCAAUCACCGGCAGAGCCACCAGACUGGCCACUUCGGCUGCCAGGCCUGCUCCAAAGGCUUCUCAAACCUCAUGUCCCUCAAGAACCACCGGCGCAUCCAUGCAGAUCCUCGGCGGUUCCGCUGCGGUGAAUGUGGGAAGGCCUUCCGCCUGCGGAAGCAGCUGGCCAGCCACCAGCGGGUCCACGCCGAGCGGGGCGCGAGCGGGGGCACCCGGAAGCUGACGCGGGAAGAUCGGCCCUUCAGGUGCGGGCAGUGUGGGCGCACCUACCGCCAUGCCGGCAGCCUCCUGAACCACCGGCGCAGCCACGAGACCGGCCAGUACAGCUGCCCCACAUGCCCCAAGACCUACUCCAACAGCAUGGCCCUGAAGGACCACCAGCGGCUGCACUCAGAGAGCCGGCGGCGGCGAGCAGGGCUGUGCCGGCGGGCAGCUGUGCGCUGUGCCCUGUGUGGCCGGGGUUUCCCUGGCCGGGGAGCUCUGGAGCAGCACCUGCGAGAGCAUGAAGAGGAGACCAAAAGUGGUCAGAGAGGCACGGAGGACAGUGAGGGGACCCUGGCCGAUGACCAGGGACUAGAGGAAAGGUCGGGUGGUCCUGAGUCAGUUCUCCAGCUGGAGGACAGAGCCAGGAGGCUGCGGGAGCAGAGGCCGAGCCCCACCGGGGCAGCAGGUUCAGAACCCACCGAGCCGGGACCCGGGGACGUGGGGAAUGCCGAAGAGAGGCAAGGAGACGGGGGGCCAGUGAGUCGCGGUGGAGAUUGGGUUCCUCGGGGUCAUGUACUGACCAAGCCAGCAGAUGAGUCAGAGGAUAGUAUCCCCAAGAGUCCUUGCCAUCUUGGCAACACCCAGCCCAACGGACCUAGUCUGAGUUCUGUGGCUGGCUGGCACAGUGCAGACAGCCGACCUCAGCUCCAGCCCGAGAGUCCCCCAUUUUCCUGCAGCCGUUGUGGCAAGACAUACUGCCAGUCGGAAGGCCCUUUGAACCGCCACAGCACCCCCGAGACAGACUGCCACCAUUGCCUGCCCUGCUCCAAGGAGUUCUCGAACCCUGUGGCCACUAAGAGCCACAGCCGCAACCACGUAGCUGCCCAGACCUUUGCCUGCCCCGACUGUGGUAAGGCUUUUCAGGCCCAUCAUGAACUAGCCAGCCACCUGCACACUCAGGCCAGCGGCCUCAGUCAGAUGCCACCCCAGAUACGGGAGGCCACAGGACCUGAAGGUGGGACUGUGGAGGAUGAGGUAGAUAGCCCCGGCCAAGGGGAAAUCCAGAAGUCCCCACCGGAACCCCCCAGGGGCCCAGGAGAGAAUGCUGGGAGAGCUGAUGGGGGGCAAGGAGUAAAGUCCCCAGUGGCUGAAGACGAGGAACGGCCCUUCCGCUGUGCCCAGUGUGGGCGGUCCUACCGCCACGCCGGUAGCCUGCUGAACCAUCAGAAGGCCCACACCACUGGACUCUACCCCUGCUCCCUCUGCCCCAAACUUCUACCCAAUCUGCUGUCCCUUAAGAACCAUGGCAGGACCCACACAGACCCCAAGCGCCACCGCUGCAGCGUCUGUGGCAAGGCCUUCCGGACUGCUGCCCGGCUGGAGGGUCAUGGGCGGGUCCAUGCACCUCGGGAGGGGCCCUUCACUUGCCCUCACUGUCCCCGCCACUUCCGUCGCCGAGUCAGCUUCCAGCAGCACCAGCAGCAGCACCAGGAGGAAUGGACAGUGGCCAGCUCUGGAGUCCCAAAGGCACCAGCAGCGGGGAGAGGGGACUUGUCAUUGCCCCCUCCUCCCACCCCCACGACCUCACUUCUGGAUCCUUCACCCCAGUGGCCUGCAGACCUCAGCUUCUCCCUCUAAACUUCAAGUCUCCAAAGAUCAGAAUACGGGCGGGGUGGGGGGGGGGGUGGCGGGUUGCAGGGAAAGGCUUGAUCUCCAUGUUUUGCUCAGGAGUAGUUAGGCAUCCCCAUCUCUCACUCUCCUCUCCCACUGUGCAGAGGGCCCAGAUCUCGCUUCUUGCCCAAGGAGGGGCUAAGGUAUUCCUCAUGUCCUUGUCCUUGAAGGCUCUCCUUUCCCCAGCCUUUGUCACUAUGCUCUUCCCUAUGACCAGCCCUGCAAGAAACCCGGUGCCAGGCUCUGCCACGAUGUGGGGCCACGGUCACCAGCCAGAUUCCAACACCAAGGAGAGGCCGAUUCAGAGAGCCACAGCAUCCCAGAGCCACCUGUCAACAGCCAGCUGGUUUGCCUGUCAGGAAGAGGAAGGAGGGUGGGGUUGGCCUCAUCCUCAGAACUUUCCUCCCUCCCUGGAAGAGGAAGAAGGUACUACUUAACCCCCAUGACAGAUGAGAAAACUGAGGUUUGAAGAAGUUGAGAGGCCUGCUCCAAGUCACAAUGAUGAAGAACCAGAAUUUUGUCCACUUACCCCCCGCCCGCCGCCCUCCGGGGCAGCUAGAGGUGGGUCAGAACAGAUCUUUUCCCUGGAUUGAGAGAGCAUGGGUCUGGA
Molecule: RNA transcript, 6359 nt
Organism: Zalophus californianus (California sea lion)
Lineage: Eukaryota; Metazoa; Chordata; Mammalia; Carnivora; Otariidae
Gene: ZNF646
Gene name: zinc finger protein 646
Exons: 4
Source: RefSeq, a predicted model, not a curated record